RNAcentral lists this ribosomal RNA (497 nucleotides) under uncultured bacterium. Its description in RNAcentral is "partial 16S ribosomal RNA". It matches the Rfam family "Bacterial small subunit ribosomal RNA", at positions 28 to 507 of the family's 1533-position model. The record is from RNAcentral.
GAUGAACGCUGGCGGCGUGCCUAAUACAUGCAAGUCGAGCGAACAGACGAGGAGCUUGCUCCUCUGACGUUAGCGGCGGACGGGUGAGUAACACGUGUAUAACCUCCCUAUAAGACUGGGAUCACUUCGGGACACCGGCGAUAAUACCGGAUAAUAUAUUGAACCGCGUGGUUCAAUAGUGAAAGACGGUUUUGCUGUCUCUUCUCGAUGCUUAUGCGCCGCAUUAGCUAGUUGGUAAGGUCACGGCUUAUCAAGGCGAGGAUGCGUAGCCGACCUGCGAGGGUGAGCGGCCGACCUGGGAGUGUGACAGGGUCCAGACUCCUAGAGGAGGCAGCAGUAGGGAAUCUUCCGGAAUGGGCGAAAGCCUGACGGAGCAACGCCGCGGGAGGGAGGAGGGUCGUCGGAUCGGAAAUCUCUGUUAUUGGGGAAGAACAAGCUUGUAAGUAACUUGGCACGUCUUGACGGUACCUAAGCAGAGAGGCACGGCUAACUUAGUG